GGGUCAGAUCAGAGCUUGCUCGCAGCCGACGAGUUUGGACGGGUGAGUAAUGUCUGGGAAACUGCCUGAUGGAGGGGGAUAACUACUGGAAACGGUAGCUAAUACCGCAUAACGUCGCAAGACCAAAGUGGGGGACCUUCGGGCCUCAUGCCAUCAGAUGUGCCCAGAUGGGAUUAGCUAGUAGGUGGGGUAACGGCUCACCUAGGCGACGAUCCCUAGCUGGUCUGAGAGGAUGACCAGCCACACUGGAACUGAGACACGGUCCAGACUCCUACGGGAGGCAGCAGUGGGGAAUAUUGCACAAUGGGCGCAAGCCUGAUGCAGCCAUGCCGCGUGUGUGAAGAAGGCCUUCGGGUUGUAAAGCACUUUCAGCGGGGAGGAAGGCGGUGAGGUUAAUAACCUUGUCGAUUGACGUUACCCGCAGAAGAAGCACCGGCUAACUCCGUGCCAGCAGCCGCGGUAAUACGGAGGGUGCAAGCGUUAAUCGGAAUUACUGGGCGUAAAGCGCACGCAGGCGGUCUGUCAAGUCGGAUGUGAAAUCCCCGGGCUCAACCUGGGAACUGCAUUCGAAACUGGCAGGCUAGAGUCUUGUAGAGGGGGGUAGAAUUCCAGGUGUAGCGGUGAAAUGCGUAGAGAUCUGGAGGAAUACCGGUGGCGAAGGCGGCCCCCUGGACAAAGACUGACGCUCAGGUGCGAAAGCGUGGGGAGCAAACAGGAUUAGAUACCCUGGUAGUCCACGCCGUAAACGAUGUCGAUUUGGAGGUUGUGCCCUUGAGGCGUGGCUUCCGGAGCUAACGCGUUAAAUCGACCGCCUGGGGAGUACGGCCGCAAGGUUAAAACUCAAAUGAAUUGACGGGGGCCCGCACAAGCGGUGGAGCAUGUGGUUUAAUUCGAUGCAACGCGAAGAACCUUACCUGGUCUUGACAUCCACAGAACUUUCCAGAGAUGGAUUGGUGCCUUCGGGAACUGUGAGACAGGUGCUGCAUGGCUGUCGUCAGCUCGUGUUGUGAAAUGUUGGGUUAAGUCCCGCAACGAGCGCAACCCUUAUCCUUUGUUGCCAGCGGUUAGGCCGGGAACUCAAAGGAAACUGCCAGUGAUAAACUGGGAGGAAGGUGGGGGAUGACGUCAAGUCAUCAUGGCCCUUACGACCAGGG
This 1154-nucleotide ribosomal RNA is filed under the name Klebsiella pneumoniae. Its description in RNAcentral is "bacterial SSU rRNA". It matches the Rfam family "Bacterial small subunit ribosomal RNA", at positions 62 to 1213 of the family's 1533-position model. Lineage: Bacteria; Pseudomonadati; Pseudomonadota; Gammaproteobacteria; Enterobacterales; Enterobacteriaceae. The record is from RNAcentral.